AUGUAUCGCGCCAAGAGAGCUGCAUUGUCACCAAAGGUGAAGCGCCGUGUCGGCAAGUAUGAGCUCGGCCGCACCAUCGGGGAAGGGACCUUUGCAAAGGUCAGGUUCGCAAAGAACACUGAAACCAUGGAGCCUGUUGCUAUCAAAAUCCUCGACAAGGAGAAGGUUCAGAAGCUCAGAUUGGUUGAACAGAUUAGGCGCGAAAUUUGUACUAUGAAGUUAAUAAAGCAUCCUAAUGUUGUUCGACUGCACGAGGUGAUGGGAAGUAAAGCAAGAAUUUUCAUUGUUCUGGAAUACAUUACUGGAGGGGAACUCUUUGAUACCAUUGUAAGUUAUACCAAUGGAAGGCUGAAAGAAGAGGAAGCACGCAAAUACUUUCAACAGCUGAUAAACGCCGUUGACUAUUGCCACAGUAGGGGUGUGUAUCACAGAGAUUUGAAGUUAGAAAAUUUGUUGCUUGAUGCUGCUGGAAACCUCAAAGUGUCCGACUUCGGUUUAAGUGCUUUAACUGAGCAAGUGAAGGCUGACGGGUUGCUGCACACAACAUGCGGAACUCCGAACUAUGUUGCUCCUGAGGUGAUUGAGGAUAGAGGUUAUGAUGGUGCAGCUGCAGAUAUCUGGUCUUGCGGGGUAAUCCUUUUUAUUCUCCUUGCCGGGUUUUUACCUUUCGAGGAUGAAAACAUCAUCGCCCUUUAUAAAAAGAUCUCAGAAGCUCAAUUCACAUGCCCCUCUUGGUUUUCUACUGGAGCUAAGAAGUUGAUUACCAGAAUUUUGGACCCUAAUCCUGCAACUCGUAUCACCAUUCCUCAGAUACUGGAGGAUCCUUGGUUCAAAAAGGGAUUCAAGCCACCUGUUUUUGACGACAAGUAUGAAACUAGCUUCGAAGAUGUCUAUGCUGCAUUUGGAGACUCAGAGGACCAGCAUGUGAAAGAGGAGACUGAACAUAAGCCAACCUCAAUGAAUGCAUUUGAACUGAUUUCACUGAAUCAGGGAUUGAAUCUGGACAAUUUGUUCGAGGCAAAGGAGGAGCAUAAAAGAGAGACACGAUUCACGUCGCAAUGCCCUCCAAAAGAAAUCAUCAGCAAGAUUGCGGAAGCUGCAAGGCCACUUGGAUUUGACAUUCAGAAGAAAAACUACAAGAUGCGGAUGGAGAACCCGAAAGCAGGUAGAAAAGGCAAUCUCAAUGUUGCAACCGAGGUGUUUCAAGUAGCUCCAUCCCUACAUGUGGUUGAGCUGAAAAAGGCGAAGGGGGAUACUCUGGAAUUUCAAAUGUUCUACAGAUCUCUCUCGACCCAGCUCAAGGAUGUAGUUUGGAAGUGCGGCGGCGAGGUAGAAGAUAACAGCACCGCGGCAUGA
RNAcentral lists this ribosomal RNA (1356 nucleotides) under Triticum aestivum (bread wheat). Its description in RNAcentral is "partial small subunit ribosomal RNA". Lineage: Eukaryota; Viridiplantae; Streptophyta; Magnoliopsida; Poales; Poaceae. The record is from RNAcentral.